RNAcentral lists this ribosomal RNA (506 nucleotides) under uncultured bacterium. Its description in RNAcentral is "partial 16S ribosomal RNA". It matches the Rfam family "Bacterial small subunit ribosomal RNA", at positions 30 to 523 of the family's 1533-position model. The record is from RNAcentral.
AUUGAACGCUGGCGGCAGGCCUAACACAUGCAAGUCGAACGGUAACAGGAAACAGCUUGCUGUUUCGCUGACGAGUGGCGGACGGGUGAGUAAUGUCUGGGAAACUGCCUGAUGGAGGGGGAUAACUACUGGAAACGGUAGCUAAUACCGCAUAACGCCGCAAGACCAAAGAGGGGGACCUUCGGGCCUCUUGCCAUCGGAUGUGCCCAGAUGGGAUUAGCUAGUAGGUGGGGUAACGGCUCACCUAGGCGACGAUCCCUAGCUGGUCUGGGAGGAUGACCAGCACCCUCGGAACUGAGACACGGUCCAGACUCCUACGGGAGGCAGCAGUGGGGAAUAUUGCACAAUGGGCGCAAGCCUGAUGCAGCCAUGCAGCGUGUCUGAAGAAGGCCUUCGGGUUGUAAAGUACUUUCAGCGGGGAGGAAGGGAGUAAAGUCAAUACCUUUGCUCAUUGACGUUACCCGCAGAAGAAGCACCGGCUAACUCCGUGCCAGCAGCCGCAGUAA